Molecule: non-coding RNA, 100 nt
Organism: Tinamus guttatus (white-throated tinamou)
Lineage: Eukaryota; Metazoa; Chordata; Aves; Tinamiformes; Tinamidae
Source: RefSeq, a predicted model, not a curated record
UCUUUUUUUCUCGUUGUGUUUCCCCCACCCUGUUUUUUAAACCAUUUUCUACUGUGAGAGAUGGUAUUUUUAGAGCCUACAGAUUCAAAGAAUUCACAAA